Non-coding RNA from Ictidomys tridecemlineatus (thirteen-lined ground squirrel), 373 nucleotides. Lineage: Eukaryota; Metazoa; Chordata; Mammalia; Rodentia; Sciuridae. The record is from RefSeq and is a predicted model, not a curated record.
UUUUUUUUUAAGCAACCCAGUGUCUGUUCAGGGUUGAGACCCACUGUCGUCUGAUACUGCUAGGGAAGCAUGAUUGAGCUCCCCCAAGACACCAUCCCUGCUACACAGGGAAGCAGUCAGGACCUGAAACUGGAAGCUGCCAUUCCACCAGCAUGCUUUGCCACCCUGAAGAGUGACACCAAGAGCAGAAGAAACGCCCCAGAGUGAAGGACUCCAGUGUGUCUGGGUUUGGUUCUUGGAACAAAACUUCUGACAAGUCUUGCCAGCGAAUCCUGAGACUAUGGUUGUCAGCUCUGACACGUAGACAGUGGCUGCACUCUGUUUCUGAGAUGAGGGUCUCCGGCCAUUUCAAAUAAAUAAUUUCAAUUUCCAA